GUGCUCGCUUCGGAAGCACAUAUACUAAAAUUGAAAAGAUACAGAGAAGAUUAGCAUAGCUCCUGCAAGGAUGACACACAAAUUCGGGAAGCGUUCCAUAUUUAA
RNAcentral lists this small nuclear RNA (105 nucleotides) under Erinaceus europaeus (western European hedgehog). The record is from RNAcentral. Lineage: Eukaryota; Metazoa; Chordata; Mammalia; Eulipotyphla; Erinaceidae.